This 258-nucleotide ribosomal RNA is filed under the name uncultured bacterium. RNAcentral describes it as "partial 16S ribosomal RNA". It matches the Rfam family "Bacterial small subunit ribosomal RNA", at positions 526 to 779 of the family's 1533-position model. The record is from RNAcentral.
CGUAGGUGGCAAGCGUUGUCCGGAAUUACUGGGCGUAAAGCGCGCGCAGGCGGCCGCUUAAAGUCUGGGGGUGAAAACCCGGGGCUCAACCCUGGGAGUGCCUUGGAUACUGGGUGGCUUGAGCAUCGGAGAGGCAAGGGGAAUUCCAUGUGUAGCGGUGAAAUGCGUAGAGAUAUGGAGGAACACCCGUGGCGAAGGCGCCUUUGCUGGCCGGUAGCUGACGCUGAGGCGCGAAAAGUGUGGGGAGCAAACAGGAUU